This 623-nucleotide long non-coding RNA is filed under the name Homo sapiens (human). RNAcentral describes it as "HSALNT0326856". Lineage: Eukaryota; Metazoa; Chordata; Mammalia; Primates; Hominidae. The record is from RNAcentral.
GGGGUAGGUCUUUCCUGUGCUGUUCUCAUGAUAGUACAUAAGUUGCAUGAGAGCUGAUGGUUCUAUAAGGGGAGCUUUCCUGCACAAACUCUUUCUUUGCCUGCUGCCAUCCAUCUAAGAUGUGACUUGCCUCUCCUUGUCUUCCACCAUGAUUGUGAGGCUUUCCCAGUCACAUGGAACUGUCAGCAAUGUGGGUGACAGAUACUUCUUUUUGCUGUUGGAACACUUCAUAUUCAUCUCUGGUAUUGUCAUGGCCUUUGACAUACCUUACCAACAAGAGAGUCAGAGCCACAGGAUGAACUUUCUCAACCCAUCCUCUUUAAGGAAAAGAAGUUGUUGGCUGAGUCACGAGGACCUUAUGUAUGCCAAGAACAUCGUUUUUGCCUCCUUAGGUGAAACUUUAUUUCCCACAUUUAGGAUUCAUUAGGAUUAUCUAAGGCAUGGUGGCUCUUUCCUGUAAUCCCAGCUACUCAAGAGACAGAGUAGGAAGGAUCCCUUGAGUCCAGAAGUUCAAGGCUGCAGUGAGCUAUGAUGGCAGUACUGCCCUCCAGCUGGGGAAACAGAGUGAUACCUUGUCUCAAAAAAAAAAAAAAAAAAAAAAAGGAAUAAAAAUAAAAGUGUCA